RNAcentral lists this ribosomal RNA (448 nucleotides) under uncultured bacterium. RNAcentral's name for it is "partial 16S ribosomal RNA". It matches the Rfam family "Bacterial small subunit ribosomal RNA", at positions 328 to 793 of the family's 1533-position model. The record is from RNAcentral.
UGGCCAGACUCCUACGGGAGGCAGCAGUGGGGAAUAUUGCACAAUGGGGGGAACCCCGAUGCAGUGACGCCGCGUGGGUGAAGGAGCACCUCGGUGCGUAAAGCCCUAUCGGCAGGGAAGAAACAGACGGUACCUGACUAAGAAGCCCCGGCUAACUACGUGCCAGCAGCCGCGGUAAUACGUAGGGGGCAAGCGUUAUCCGGAUUUACUGGGUGUAAAGGGAGCGUAGACGGCGAAGAAAGUCUGAAGUGAAAGCCCGCGGCUUAACCGCGGAACUGCUUUGGAAACUUUUUUGCUGGAGUACCGGAGAGGUAAGCGGAAUUCCUAGUGUAGCGGUGAAAUGCGUAGAUAUUAGGAGGAACACCAGUGGCGAAGGCGGCUUACUGGACGGUAACUGACGUUGAGGCUCGAAAGCGUGGGGAGCAAACAGGAUUAGAUACCCCAGUAC